GAUGAACGCUGGCGGCGUGCCUAAUACAUGCAAGUCGAGCGAACGGACGAGAAGCUUGCUUCUCUGAUGUUAGCGGCGGACGGGUGAGUAACACUUGGAUAACCUACCUAUAAGACUGGGAUAACUUCGGGAAACCGGAGCUAAUACCGGAUAAUAUUUUGAACCGCAUGGUUCAAAAGUGAAAGACGGUCUUGCUGUCACUUAUAGAUGGAUCCGCGCUGCAUUAGCUAGUUGGUAAGGUAACGGCUUACCAAGGCAACGAUGCAUAGCCGACCUGAGAGGGUGAUCGGCCACACUGGAACUGAGACACGGUCCAGACUCCUACGGGAGGCAGCAGUAGGGAAUCUUCCGCAAAGGGCGAAAGCCUGACGGAGCAACGCCGCGUGAGUGAUGAAGGUCUUCGGAUCGUAAAACUCUGUUACUAGGGAAGAACAUAUGUGUAAGUAACUGUGCACAUCUUGACGGUACCUAAUCAGAAAGCCACGGCUAACUACGUG
This 497-nucleotide ribosomal RNA is filed under the name uncultured bacterium. RNAcentral's name for it is "partial 16S ribosomal RNA". It matches the Rfam family "Bacterial small subunit ribosomal RNA", at positions 28 to 507 of the family's 1533-position model. The record is from RNAcentral.